RNAcentral lists this ribosomal RNA (620 nucleotides) under Bacillus zhangzhouensis. RNAcentral's name for it is "bacterial SSU rRNA". It matches the Rfam family "Bacterial small subunit ribosomal RNA", at positions 80 to 686 of the family's 1533-position model. The record is from RNAcentral. Lineage: Bacteria; Bacillati; Bacillota; Bacilli; Caryophanales; Bacillaceae.
UGCUCCCGGAUGUUAGCGGCGGACGGGUGAGUAACACGUGGGUAACCUGCCUGUAAGACUGGGAUAACUCCGGGAAACCGGAGCUAAUACCGGAUAGUUCCUUGAACCGCAUGGUUCAAGGAUGAAAGACGGUUUCGGCUGUCACUUACAGAUGGACCCGCGGCGCAUUAGCUAGUUGGUGGGGUAAUGGCUCACCAAGGCGACGAUGCGUAGCCGACCUGAGAGGGUGAUCGGCCACACUGGGACUGAGACACGGCCCAGACUCCUACGGGAGGCAGCAGUAGGGAAUCUUCCGCAAUGGACGAAAGUCUGACGGAGCAACGCCGCGUGAGUGAUGAAGGUUUUCGGAUCGUAAAGCUCUGUUGUUAGGGAAGAACAAGUGCGAGAGUAACUGCUCGCACCUUGACGGUACCUAACCAGAAAGCCACGGCUAACUACGUGCCAGCAGCCGCGGUAAUACGUAGGUGGCAAGCGUUGUCCGGAAUUAUUGGGCGUAAAGGGCUCGCAGGCGGUUUCUUAAGUCUGAUGUGAAAGCCCCCGGCUCAACCGGGGAGGGUCAUUGGAAACUGGGAAACUUGAGUGCAGAAGAGGAGAGUGGAAUUCCACGUGUAGCGGUGAAA